AUAAAAUUUUUUCGAAAGAAAAAUCUGUUCUCAUCAGUUUAAUAUCUGAUACGUCCCCUAUCCGGGGACCAUAUAUUAAAUAGAUUUUUGGAGCAGGGAGAUCAAAUAGGGGCUUGCUCCGUCCACUCCACGCAUCGACCCGGUAUUGCAGUACUUCCGGGAACGGUGCACCCCUC
Small nuclear RNA from Ictalurus punctatus (channel catfish), 176 nucleotides. Its record names the gene U2. It matches the Rfam family "U2 spliceosomal RNA". Rfam says of the family: U2 is a small nuclear RNA (snRNA) component of the spliceosome (involved in pre-mRNA splicing). NCBI's taxonomy places the organism in Eukaryota, Metazoa, Chordata, Actinopteri, Siluriformes, Ictaluridae. The record is from Ensembl.